This 26-nucleotide non-coding RNA is filed under the name Rattus norvegicus (Norway rat). Lineage: Eukaryota; Metazoa; Chordata; Mammalia; Rodentia; Muridae. The record is from RNAcentral.
UGACCUCCAAAGUUGGAAGAACUGCA